This 500-nucleotide ribosomal RNA is filed under the name uncultured bacterium. RNAcentral describes it as "partial 16S ribosomal RNA". It matches the Rfam family "Bacterial small subunit ribosomal RNA", at positions 899 to 1397 of the family's 1533-position model. The record is from RNAcentral.
ACUCAAAUGAAUUGACGGGGGCCCGCACAAGCGGUGGAGCAUGUGGUUCAAUUCGAAGCAACGCGCAGAACCUUACCAGCCUUUGACAUCCCGGUCGCGAGCACCAGAGAUGGAGCUCUUCAGUUCGGCUGGACCGGAGACAGGUGCUGCAUGGCUGUCGUCAGCUCGUGUCGUGAGAUGUUGGGUUAAGUCCCGCAACGAGCGCAACCCUCGCCCUUAGUUGCCAUCAUUUAGUUGGGCACUCUAAGGGGACUGCCGGUGAUAAGCCGGAGGAAGGUGGGGAUGACGUCAAGUCCUCAUGGCCCUUACAGGCUGGGCUACACACGUGCUACAAUGGCGGUGACAGAGGGACGCAAAGGAGUAAUCCUUCGCAAAUCUCAAAAAGCCGUCUCAGUUCGGAUUGUGCUCUGCAACUCGAGCACAUGAAGUUGGAAUCGCUAGUAAUCGCAGAUCAGCACGCUGCGGUGAAUACGUUCCCGGGCCUUGUACACACCGCCCGU